GCCUAAUCGAAAAUUAUGAAGACAAAGUGCUCUUCCCUACAGUUCUUCUCCACCGAGAAUUGCGGGCCGUCCGGUUCCCUUCUUUCCCCUCACUCUAGCAAUCGUACAAUUCACAGGUUGAGGUAUUAAGCACAUGGAGUCUGCAAGGUGUUGGUUUAACAAAUUGAAGUCAAAAGAUAAGUUGAAGUCUGCAAAAAAGGAAGCCACAUGCAAUAAAGCACCUACAAGUGAAGAAGCACCAUC
RNAcentral lists this unclassified non-coding RNA (243 nucleotides) under Hevea brasiliensis (rubber tree). Lineage: Eukaryota; Viridiplantae; Streptophyta; Magnoliopsida; Malpighiales; Euphorbiaceae. The record is from RNAcentral.